This 254-nucleotide ribosomal RNA is filed under the name uncultured bacterium. RNAcentral's name for it is "partial 16S ribosomal RNA". It matches the Rfam family "Bacterial small subunit ribosomal RNA", at positions 524 to 776 of the family's 1533-position model. The record is from RNAcentral.
UACGUAGGUGGCAAGCGUUGUCCGGAUUUACUGGGCGUAAAGAGCGCGCAGGCGGUCGUUCAAGUCGCGUGUGAAAGCCCCCGGCUCAACUGGGGAGGGUCACGCGACACUGAUCGACUCGAAGGCAGGAGAGGGUAGUGGAAUUCCCGGUGUAGUGGUGAAAUGCGUAGAUAUCGGGAGGAACACCAGUGGCGAAGGCGACUACCUGGCCUGUUUCUUGACGCUGAGGCGCGAAAGCUAGGGGAGCAAACGGG